AAGCAUUGGAAGCAUCGCCCCUGCGUGUGCCCUUGGGUAAGGAGCAAGCUGAGGAGCUCCUGCAGCAAAAUGUGAAGGCCUUGAGGAAGGUAUGUGGGGGUUCUUAACAUGCUGGAGACACCGAGGAGCCAAAAACCCCCAAUCAAACCCAGAGGCAAUAGCUGGACAAAGGCAAUUCCAGAUUGAUGCCAUCUGAGAUGUAACCUUGGACCAGAGAGCACCCGAAGCCUCUUCAAGUCACUUGGUGAUGGUUUCCUCUUCCUCAGCACGCGCUGGUGGCGUGUCCUCGCGACAGGCUGGGUGCUGCUCCGAUGGAACACGGUGAUGCUGUCCCACGGUGAAAGGUUGGGAUGAGGGUGAGGAGAGGGCAGGAUCGGAGGCUAAAAGAGAAACCCCAACCCCCAGACUGCGAAACGAGAGAGAAGAAAUGGAGUUAAAGGAGACCUGGAUUCCUCCGGAGGCUUCGCUGGCGACGGGAGGUGGAUGCAGCCAUGAGGAUGAGGAGGGAUGCUGGACAGAAGUCGUUCUGCUGCGAGGAGGACAAAGCAUUAGCUUCAGUGCUCACAAAGAACAUCACCUAAGACAGCGCUUUUACACCUUUACAUCCUGGAGCAAUAACUUACUGUGAACCGCAGUAAACAAAA
Long non-coding RNA from Pezoporus flaviventris, 644 nucleotides. RefSeq lists it as uncharacterized. The record is from RefSeq and is a predicted model, not a curated record. Lineage: Eukaryota; Metazoa; Chordata; Aves; Psittaciformes; Psittacidae. The transcript has 3 exons.